This 104-nucleotide non-coding RNA is filed under the name Virgibacillus necropolis. RNAcentral describes it as "TPP sequence". It matches the Rfam family "TPP riboswitch aptamer (THI element)". From Rfam's summary of the family: Vitamin B(1) in its active form thiamin pyrophosphate (TPP) is an essential coenzyme that is synthesised by coupling of pyrimidine and thiazole moieties in bacteria. The record is from Rfam by way of RNAcentral. Lineage: Bacteria; Bacillati; Bacillota; Bacilli; Caryophanales; Bacillaceae.
UUUUAGCACUAGGGGAGCUGUGAAAGCGGCUGAGAAGAAAUUUAUUCUGACCCUUUGAACCCGAACUGGAUAAUACCAGCGUGGGGAAGUGUGGUCGAAGCGUG